CCUUUCUUUUAUGGUCAUAAACCUUGUGUUUAAAUUUCAUAGAUUUCUAUUUACUUAUACUAAUGUUAUGGUGCGAAAACCAAGAAAAAUGCUUAUUUGGGUCCCUUUUUGGCCCCUAAUUCCUAAACUGUUGGGACCUAAACUCCCAAAAUCAAUACCAACCUUCCUUUUGUAGUCAUUAACAUUGUGUUUAAAUUUCAUUGAUUUCUAUUUACUUAAACUAAUGUUAUUGUGCGAAAACCAAGAAAAUGCUUAUUUGGGCCCUUUUUGGCCCCUAAUUCCUAAAAUGUUGGGACCAAAACUCCCAAAAUCAAUACCAACCUUCCUUUUGUGGUCAUAAACCUUGUGUUAAAAUUUCAUAGAUUUCCAUUCACUUUUACUAAAGUUAGAGUGCGAAAACUAAAAGUAUUCGGACGACGGACGACGACGACGACGACGACGACGACGACGACGACGACGACGACGACGACGACGCAGACGCCAACGUGAUAGCAAUAUACGACGAAAAUUUUUUCAAAAUUUGCGGUCGUAUAAAAAACC
RNAcentral lists this long non-coding RNA (540 nucleotides) under Mytilus galloprovincialis (Mediterranean mussel). The record is from RNAcentral. Lineage: Eukaryota; Metazoa; Mollusca; Bivalvia; Mytilida; Mytilidae.